RNAcentral lists this long non-coding RNA (510 nucleotides) under Phoenix dactylifera (date palm). Its description in RNAcentral is "long non-coding RNA (PDAC_LNC001208)". The record is from RNAcentral. Lineage: Eukaryota; Viridiplantae; Streptophyta; Magnoliopsida; Arecales; Arecaceae.
AACUAAAUCCAAUUCAAGGGGCUUUAUGGACGUUCAACUACGGUGUCUGCUAGAAAUCCACUAAGAUGUCAGGAUGAUCAAAAAAAGAAAAGAAAAAUAAAAAAAGGCAGGAAGAGAGGUCAUUGAUCUCAUUAUGAAGUCACCUUAACUCAUAUCUAAGAUCUGAACUAGACCAAACAUUAAUCCAUGCAGCAUAACAUCCGUGCCUUAUUAAUGUAGUCAGCAUCAAAACCACCUAUUGCUGAGUUGCCGUUGCUUCUAGGUUGCUUAGCGGCAAACCAACUGAUAUAUAUGUGCCUGAAUACAAAGUUCAAAGCGUUGCACUUUGCUUUUUGACCCGUUCGACUACGUAUUGUAGAGAGCUUUAUCCAAUUUCUCGUGAAAAAAAACCCCCCUUACGUAAGAGAUAGAUUCGACCAGCUAAGAUAUAACUUUCCCACUUCACGACCUUCUAACCACCACCCCAAAUACGUAUACACUCCUUUGAUAUUUAACCUAUUCUAAAGCAUC